This 313-nucleotide non-coding RNA is filed under the name Stegodyphus mimosarum. RNAcentral describes it as "eukaryotic large subunit ribosomal RNA". It matches the Rfam family "Eukaryotic large subunit ribosomal RNA", at positions 679 to 954 of the family's 3401-position model. The record is from Rfam by way of RNAcentral. Lineage: Eukaryota; Metazoa; Arthropoda; Arachnida; Araneae; Eresidae.
CCUGUAAUGCGAGUCAAUGGGUCUUGACCAGGCCCAAAGGCACAAUAAAAGCAAAGGGCGGCAGAACACCGUCUGAGUUGGUAUCCUGGGGCUUCCAGCGUCCAAAGGAGCACCAACAACCCGUCCUGUCCGAUUUAUCUCGGUUGGGCGCAGUUUGAGCGUCCACGCUGGGACCCGAAAGAUGGUGAACUAUGCUCGGACAGAACGAGGCCAGGGAGAACUCUGGUGGAGGUCCGUAGCAGUUCAGACGUACAACUUGAUCAUCAGGUCCGGGUCUAGGAGCAAAAGACUAACCGAAACUUCUAGUAGCUGG